AUGAUGAUGACACGGGCCUCCAUGGGGGCCAUGGAGGGCGCGGCGCUGGACGAGGUGGUGCGGCGAUUGGUCGAGGGCGGCCGCGGCGGGCGGCAGGUGCAGCUGUCCGAGGCGGAGAUCCGGCAGCUCUGCGUCGACGCCAAGCGGGUUUUCCUGUCCCAGCCCAACCUCCUCCGCAUCCAGGCCCCCGUCAAGAUCUGCGGUGAUAUCCAUGGUCAGUUUGUUGAUCUUCUAAGGUUGUUUGAUUUGGGUGGUUAUCCUCCAACCUCAACCUAUGUAUUCCUCGGAGACUACGUAGAUAGAGGCAAACAGAGCUUGGAAACUAUAUGCUUACUGCUGGCAUACAAAAUAAGGUACCCUGACAAGGUUUUCCUGUUAAGGGGGAACCAUGAAGAUGCAAAAAUCAACAGAGUUUAUGGUUUCUAUGAUGAAUGCAAGAGGAGGUUCAAUGUUCGACUGUGGAAGAUAUUCUCUGAUUGCUUCAACUGCCUGCCUAUUGCAGCACUCAUUGACGACAAGAUACUGUGCAUGCAUGGUGGCCUUUCACCUGAACUGACUAACCUGGACCAAAUAAAGGAUAUUGAGAGGCCGGCUGAGAUUCCUGAUUAUGGUCUCCUGUGUGAUUUGCUUUGGUCUGAUCCUAGCCCUGACGGAGAAGGGUGGGGUGAGAGUGACAGAGGUGUUUCAUGUACGUUUGGUGCAGAUAUGCUUAUAGAGUUUUUGGAAAAAAAUGAUCUUGAUCUUAUCUGCCGAGCCCAUCAGGUGGUAGAAGAUGGUUACGAGUUCUUUGCACAGCGGAGAUUAGUCACAAUCUUCUCAGCUCCAAAUUAUUGUGGGGAAUUCGAUAAUGUAGGUGCUCUGUUGAGCAUAGAUGAAAAUCUAAUGUGCUCAUUUCAAAUCUUGAAGCCAAAUGAAACAGGCACACCGCGUGUGAAAAGACAAAUCCCAAAUAAGCCAGCAAUUGGGGGAAGUGCCUGA
Molecule: ribosomal RNA, 978 nt
Filed under: Triticum aestivum (bread wheat)
Lineage: Eukaryota; Viridiplantae; Streptophyta; Magnoliopsida; Poales; Poaceae
Description: partial small subunit ribosomal RNA
Source: RNAcentral